Molecule: ribosomal RNA, 523 nt
Filed under: uncultured bacterium
Lineage: Bacteria
Description: bacterial SSU rRNA
Rfam family: Bacterial small subunit ribosomal RNA
Source: RNAcentral
AAUAGAUACCCGGGUAGUCCACGCCGUAAACGAUGAGUGCUAAGUGUUAGAGGGUUUCCGCCCUUUAGUGCUGCAGCAAACGCAUUAAGCACUCCGCCUGGGGAGUACGGUCGCAAGACUGAAACUCAAAGGAAUUGACGGGGGCCCGCACAAGCGGUGGAGCAUGUGGUUUAAUUCGAAGCAACGCGAAGAACCUUACCAGGUCUUGACAUCCUCUGACAACCCUAGAGAUAGGGCUUCCCCUUCGGGGGCAGAGUGACAGGUGGUGCAUGGUUGUCGUCAGCUCGUGUCGUGAGAUGUUGGGUUAAGUCCCGCAACGAGCGCAACCCUUGAUCUUAAUUGCCAGCAUUCAGUUGGGCACUCUAAGGUGACUGCCGGUGACAAACCGGAGGAAGGUGGGGAUGACGUCAAAUCGUCAUGCCCCUUAUGACCUGGGCUACACACGUGCUACAAUGGGCAGACAAAGGGCAGCGAAGCCGCGAGGCUAAGCCAAUCCCACAAAUCUGUUCUCAGUUCGGAUCGC